RNAcentral lists this non-coding RNA (205 nucleotides) under Labilithrix sp. RNAcentral's name for it is "6S RNA". It matches the Rfam family "6S / SsrS RNA". From Rfam's summary of the family: E. coli 6S RNA was the first non coding RNA to be sequenced, but its function was unknown until recently. It consists of 184 nucleotides that fold into an extended hairpin structure with a large single-stranded internal bulge. Lineage: Bacteria; Pseudomonadati; Myxococcota; Polyangiales; Labilitrichaceae. The record is from RNAcentral.
UUCCCUCUGCCGGUCUCGUGCUUGUGGUUUUCAUGAUCCCCUUAUGUAUGUGAACCAGGGAGGCAAACGAUCGCUCGUUGUGCACGCCGGACCAUCUCUCACGAGCUCUGGAUAAUUCGGAAGCCUGAAGCGCGAUCCGCGUCGCCCACCUAGCCUACGGGCUAGGGGUUCAUGACAAUCCGCACACGGACCAAGCGGUACGGAA